GGCAGCGUAGCUCAGCUGGUUAGAGCGGAGGAUUCAUACCCCUCAGGUCCGCGGUUCGAUUCCGCGCGCUGCUA
RNAcentral lists this transfer RNA (74 nucleotides) under uncultured Armatimonadota bacterium. RNAcentral describes it as "uncultured Armatimonadetes bacterium tRNA-Met-CAT". It matches the Rfam family "tRNA". Rfam says of the family: Transfer RNA (tRNA) molecules are approximately 80 nucleotides in length. RNAcentral also lists the same sequence under 1 other name. The record is from RNAcentral. Lineage: Bacteria; Bacillati; Armatimonadota.